Dromiciops gliroides (monito del monte) is the source of this 194-nucleotide small nuclear RNA. RefSeq annotates it as U2 spliceosomal RNA. The record is from RefSeq and is a predicted model, not a curated record. Lineage: Eukaryota; Metazoa; Chordata; Mammalia; Microbiotheria; Microbiotheriidae. The transcript has a single exon.
AUUUCUUUAAAAUAUGAAUUAAUUGUAUAAAGUCUCUAUAUCUGUUCUUAACAGAUUAGUAUCAGAUAAGUCUUCUAUGGGAAGACAAUAUAUUAAAGGGAGUUUUGGAACAAGGAGACAUAAGGAGAGUUUGCUCUGUCCAUUCCAUACAUCAACCCCAGUAUUACAGGACUUCUGGAAAUAGUGCACCUCCC